AACGCACGAGACCUGCGGACCUGCGGAGGGAUCAUUACUGAGUUUCACAACUCUCUAACCCUGUGUGAACUGAAGUCUGGUUGCUCAGGCAGGCGGCCCCCGGGGGGAGCCGCAGCUUCUCUGAAGCGCCUGCCGGAGGAUACCUAAACUCGUUUUAACAUAUAAUCUUCUGAGUAAUAAAAAAAAUGAAUCAAAACUUUUAACAAUGGAUCUCU
This 215-nucleotide unclassified non-coding RNA is filed under the name soil metagenome. Its description in RNAcentral is "partial contains 5.8S ribosomal RNA, internal transcribed spacer 2, and large subunit ribosomal RNA". The record is from RNAcentral.